UUUAUUUAUUCCGCCUCUGCCCCCCUUCCUUAUGUCAUUAAAAACAUUAACCCUCUCAUUUAACCUCAAUAUAGUAUUUAUAAUAUAAAUACCUAUGGAUCAAUGUGUGUUUUAACUUAAAUUUUAGAAUCCUCCAUAGAUACUCUAGUCUGUGAUGUCCCCUACAUAAUUUUCUGACUUUUGUAACAUCAUUUUAUUGUGGACUCAUAUAGGCGGUUGGAAGACAUAUUGGAUG
Molecule: unclassified non-coding RNA, 235 nt
Filed under: Hevea brasiliensis (rubber tree)
Lineage: Eukaryota; Viridiplantae; Streptophyta; Magnoliopsida; Malpighiales; Euphorbiaceae
Source: RNAcentral